This 465-nucleotide ribosomal RNA is filed under the name Vreelandella stevensii. RNAcentral's name for it is "partial 16S ribosomal RNA". It matches the Rfam family "Bacterial small subunit ribosomal RNA", at positions 338 to 795 of the family's 1533-position model. The record is from RNAcentral. Lineage: Bacteria; Pseudomonadati; Pseudomonadota; Gammaproteobacteria; Oceanospirillales; Halomonadaceae.
CCUACGGGGUGCAGCAGUGGGGAAUAUUGGACAAUGGGGGGAACCCUGAUCCAGCCAUGCCGCGUGUGUGAAGAAGGCCCUCGGGUUGUAAAGCACUUUCAGUGAGGAAGAACGCCUGGUGGUUAAUACCCAUCAGGAAAGACAUCACUCACAGAAGAAGCACCGGCUAACUCCGUGCCAGCAGCCGCGGUAAUACGGAGGGUGCGAGCGUUAAUCGGAAUUACUGGGCGUAAAGCGCGCGUAGGUGGCUUGAUAAGCCGGUUGUGAAAGCCCCGGGCUCAACCUGGGAACGGCAUCCGGAACUGUCAAGCUAGAGUGCAGGAGAGGAAGGUAGAAUUCCCGGUGUAGCGGUGAAAUGCGUAGAGAUCGGGAGGAAUACCAGUGGCGAAGGCGGCCUUCUGGACUGACACUGACACUGAGGUGCGAAAGCGUGGGUAGCAAACAGGAUUAGAUACCCCAGUAGUC